GAUGAACGCUAGCUACAUGCUUAACACAUGCAAGUCGCGGGGCAGCAUGGGGGUUGCGUGCAAUCCCCGAUGGCGACCGACGCACGGGUGAGUAACGCGUAUCCAACCUGCCCUUCACCACGGACUAACCCAGCGAAAGUCUGACUACGACCGAAUGUUCUCCAUUGACGGCUUCCUAUUUGAACGUAGGUUUUGUCGCUGAAGUAUGUGGAUGCGUCCGAUUAUCUGGACGGCGGGGUGACGGCCCACCCUGGCGACGAGCGGUAGGGGCGCUGAGAGGGAGGUCCCCCAGACUGGAACUGAGACACGGACCAGACUCGUACGGGAGGCAGCAGUGAGGAAUAUUGGUCAAUGGGCGUAAGCCGGAACCAGCCAAGUAGCGUGCAGGAGGACGGCCCUAUGGGUUGUAAACUGCUAUUAUGCGGGGAUAAAGUGGGCCACGGGUGGGUUUUUGAAGGUACCGAAUGAAUAAGGACCGGCUAAUUCCGUG
Molecule: ribosomal RNA, 490 nt
Filed under: uncultured bacterium
Lineage: Bacteria
Description: partial 16S ribosomal RNA
Rfam family: Bacterial small subunit ribosomal RNA
Source: RNAcentral